Molecule: long non-coding RNA, 546 nt
Filed under: Nicotiana benthamiana
Lineage: Eukaryota; Viridiplantae; Streptophyta; Magnoliopsida; Solanales; Solanaceae
Description: long non-coding RNA (NBEN_LNC039258)
Source: RNAcentral
GUUUGGGUGUGUUUCCGACGUUCCUCACCAGCUCUCUGGUAAAGUUUUUUUGUUUUUUCAAAAUCUAGACCUAGGGUUUGAAACCUAGGGUUUCUCUGUGUUUGAAGGCCGAUCUUCUCCGGUUGCGAAGAAGGAGGGUAACUCUGUGUCCUUCUCCUCGAUUUAUGUGUACUUAUUUGACUUUGUAAUUGCGAGUAUCUGGUGGUAUCUGUGAUUACUUGACCUAAUUGUUGUUUGUCUGUUGGUUAUUGUUGGUUACUGUGUUUGUACACUUGUUCUGGUAGUAUCCUGUUUGUUGACAAGUUAUUUGUCUAAGCCGGUUCAUUAUGGCUUCUAGCACAACAUUGUUGGUUACUGUGUUUGUGCACUUGUUCUGGUAGUAUCCUGUUUGUUGACAAGUUAUUUGUUUAAGCCGGUUCACUAUGGCUUCUAGCACAAGUACUGGUGCUUCUACUACUGUGGAUUCCUCUAGUCCACUUUUUAUGUAUUCAUCUGAUCUCCCUGGGGUACCACUUGUUCCCAUCCCAUUCUCGGGUACUGGUUAUG